CAACAGGUCUUCAAAAUCUCUGAGGAAAUUGCAAUUCUAACCCCUGCAUUCCUCUUGGAAUCAAUUACCUGACUGCAAGUAUUACGAAGUCGCUUACUUUUAUAGUUAGGGGCACAAGACCUAAGUUAGUGUUCUUCAAAACAUCGCCUCUAAGAAGGCAAGUGAAGCUGAAGACUAUAAACAUGAAGAGGAUGUGAACACGACACCUGAAGCAGGGUGACGCCAGCCCAUUCUGUCCACUCCAUAAGGAUAGCCCUUGUUCCAUUCGGUCCAGUAUACAUAUUUCCACAUGAUGCUGAGAUUGGGGCAGCAGUCAAAGAAGUGAAGAACUGCAGGGUGUUGUAAAAAGAUCAGACUUAUGGCCAGGCGCAGUGGCUGAUGCCUGUAAUCACAGCACUUUUGGAGGCAAGGCGGACAGAUCACGAAGUCAGGAGUUCGAGACCAG
RNAcentral lists this long non-coding RNA (445 nucleotides) under Homo sapiens (human). Its description in RNAcentral is "HSALNT0157917". Lineage: Eukaryota; Metazoa; Chordata; Mammalia; Primates; Hominidae. The record is from RNAcentral.